GUGGAUGUAGCCAGUGGUAGAGUUCUUGCCAAGCAUGUGCAGGGACCUGGGUUCAAUCCCCAGUAUCUCCA
Molecule: transfer RNA, 71 nt
Filed under: Marmota monax (woodchuck)
Lineage: Eukaryota; Metazoa; Chordata; Mammalia; Rodentia; Sciuridae
Description: tRNA.Ala
Source: RNAcentral